CGUAGGUGACCUGCGGAGGAUCAUUACCAGCGAAGCGCGGCGUCCGAGCUGCAAACGCAACCCACCCUUUGUGAAUUUACCCCUGUUGCUUUGGCGGGCCGCGGGGCCCACGGGCCCCCGUCGACCCCGGUGGACCAGUGCCCGUCAGAGACCCUCCAACCCACGUCAUCAGUGCAGUCCGAGUCGUAACAUAAUCGUUAAAACUUUCAACAACGGAUCUCUUGGUUCUGGCAUCGAUGAAGAACGCAGCGAAAUGCGAUAAGUAAUGUGAAUUGCAGAAUUCAGUGAAUCAUCGAAUCUUUGAACGCACAUUGCGCCCCCUGGCAUUCCGGGGGGCAUGCCUGUUCGAGCGUCAUUACACCUCUCAAGCGCAGCUUGGUAUUGGGUGCCGCCCUCCCGGGGGCGCGCCCGAAAGUCAGCGGCGACGCGGUCGGUCUUCCAGCGUAGUAAAACUCCUGUUUCGCUCACGGAGCCCGGGCGCGUCCGCCGGACAACCCCCCCAUCUUCAAUGGUUGACCUCGGAUCAGGUAGGGAUACCCGCUGAACUUAAGCAUAUCAAUAAGCGGAGGAAAAGAAA
RNAcentral lists this ribosomal RNA (577 nucleotides) under Xylographa constricta. RNAcentral's name for it is "eukaryotic LSU rRNA". The stretch from base 202 to 355 matches the Rfam family "5.8S ribosomal RNA". Lineage: Eukaryota; Fungi; Ascomycota; Lecanoromycetes; Baeomycetales; Xylographaceae. The record is from RNAcentral.